GGCGAGAUGAAUUCAAUGAUACUGAUGAUCUAGCUAGUGAUCCUAUUAUAAAUGAACCAGUUGAUGAUGACAUGAGUGAUGAUUAUACAACUGAUGGUAUAGUAGAUGACGUAGCUGAUGAGGGGCUAGAUGUACAAGCCGAUGAAGAGCCAGCGGCCGAAUUACAACCAAGAAGAUCGACCAGGGUACGGAGACCUCCGAGUAGGUAUUCUCCAGAUGAUUACGUUCUCCUAACAGACGGGGGAGAACCAGAAUGCUAUAAAGAAGCAUUGACUCAUGAUCAACAAGAUGAGUGGUUGAAAGCCAUGCAUGAAGAGAUGCAAUCUCUGCAUGAGAACCACACAUAUGAUCUAGUGAACCUACCAAAAGGUAGAAGAGCACUCAAGAACAAAUGGGUGUAUCGACUGAAGACGGAAGAAAACAACUCUAAGCCCAGGUUUAAGGCAAGGCUAGUUGUGAAAGGUUUCAGUCAGAAGAAAGGAAUUGACUUUGAAGAGAUUUUCUCACCCGUAGUGAAGAUGUCAUCCAUACGGGUUGUACUCGGUUUGGCUGCAAGCCUGAAUCUCGAGAUCGAACAGCUAGAUGUGAAGACAGCUUUUCUUCACGGAGAUCUUGAAGAAGAAAUCUACAUGGAGCAGCCAGAAGGAUUCAAAGUCAAAGGAAAAGAAGAUUUGGUAUGUCGGCUGAAAAAGAGCUUAUAUGGACUCAAGCAGGCGCCUCGACAAUGGUACAAGAAGUUUGAUUCCUUCAUGAUUGAACACAGAUAUCGACUUCAGACCAUUGUGUAUUUGUGAAAAGAUUUGAUGAUGGUGAAUUCAUCAUACUUCUUCUCUAUGUCGAUGACAUGUUGAUCGUAGGACAAAACAGUGACAAGAUUAGCAAGCUGAAGAAAGAGUUGAGCAAGUCUUUUGCUAUGAAAGACUUAGGACC
This 930-nucleotide long non-coding RNA is filed under the name Prunus dulcis (almond). RNAcentral describes it as "sRNA ncRNA". The record is from RNAcentral. Lineage: Eukaryota; Viridiplantae; Streptophyta; Magnoliopsida; Rosales; Rosaceae.